Zingiber officinale is the source of this 322-nucleotide long non-coding RNA. RefSeq lists it as uncharacterized. Lineage: Eukaryota; Viridiplantae; Streptophyta; Magnoliopsida; Zingiberales; Zingiberaceae. The transcript is spliced from 2 exons. The record is from RefSeq and is a predicted model, not a curated record.
CGGCCGGUGCGUUGCUCCGCUUCACGCUCUCUCCGCCUGCGUUGCUUCUGCUCAUGGAUUAUUUCUCGAGUCAUCCUUCUCGAUGAAGGAAAAAAGAAUGAGAUGGAACAUCAAGCUAUGAUGAAGAAUCACUUCUCUCUCAACAGAUGAGGCAUUUUCAUUGAUUUCAAAUUUUCAAUACUUCUUCUGAGCUUAAAAUGCCAAGCCUUUUCUCAUAUUUUUUUCUUCCUAUACAAGGCUUUUAUAUGUAUAACAUUGAUUUUUCUUCCAUGUUUCAGCAUCAAACUUAUACAUUACCAAUAACAUGAAUCAAAUUAUUGGA